GCAAAACAUUCUUUAAAAUUAUGAGUUUUUUUACAUAAUAAUAAAGCAAUAUCCAAGUAUAUUUCUUUAAAAUGUCCUCGAAAACCGAGGAGGCAGCGCCUCGCGACUGUUUGGGCUGCAGGAUUGUCGGAGCUGUUGGCCUGAUCGGAAUUGGAGGUUACCUUGCAAAUUUAGCGUUUAAAAACAAAACUCUGCCUGGAAGAAUACUGGUUUCUACUUUUUCCCUCACAUUUGUGAGUCUAGGCAUAGCAAGGUAUAAACAGACUUUCCCAUUUGAAAAGAGAUCAUCGGAGGCAGUGGAAUGGAAAUCAUAAAACUUUAUCACUUUAUUGUUAUUUAGUCUUUAUUAAUUUAAGGUGAAUUAAAAUAUGUAGAUUUAAAA
This is a long non-coding RNA of Cydia amplana, 382 nucleotides long. RefSeq lists it as uncharacterized. NCBI's taxonomy places the organism in Eukaryota, Metazoa, Arthropoda, Insecta, Lepidoptera, Tortricidae. The transcript is spliced from 2 exons. The record is from RefSeq and is a predicted model, not a curated record.